Molecule: ribosomal RNA, 623 nt
Filed under: Flavobacterium sp. So3Ps_1778
Lineage: Bacteria; Pseudomonadati; Bacteroidota; Flavobacteriia; Flavobacteriales; Flavobacteriaceae
Description: bacterial SSU rRNA
Rfam family: Bacterial small subunit ribosomal RNA
Source: RNAcentral
UGCCGCGUGCAGGAUGACGGUCCUAUGGAUUGUAAACUGCUUUUGUACGAAAAAAAACAUCCCGACGUGUCCGGACUUGACGGUAUCGUAAGAAUAAGGAUCGGCUAACUCCGUGCCAGCAGCCGCGGUAAUACUGAGGAUCCAAGCGUUAUCCGGAAUCAUUGGGUUUAAAGGGUCCGUACGCCGUUUAAUAAGUCAGUGGUGAAAGCCCAUCGCUCAGCGGUGGAACGGCCAUUGAUACUGCUGAACUUGAAUUAUUAUGAAGUAACUACAAUAUGUAGUGUAGAGGUGAAGUGCUUAAAUAUUACAUGGAAUACCACUUGCGAAGGCAGGUUACUACUAAUUGAUUGACCCUGAUGGACGAAAGCGUGGGGAGCGAACGGGAUUACAUACCCUGGUAGUCCACGCCUUAGACGAUGGAUACUACCUGUUGGGAGCAAUUUCAGUGGCUAAGCGAAAGUGAUAAGUAUCCCACCUGGGGAGUACGUUCGCAAGAAUGAAACUCAGAGGAAUUGACGGGGGCCCGCACAAGCGGUGGAGCAUGUGGUUUAAUUCGAUGAUACGCGAGGAACCUUACCAAGGCUUAAAUGUAGAUUGACCGUUUUGGAAACAGAACUUUCGCA